UACGUAGGGGGCAAGCGUUGUCCGGAUUUAUUGGGCGUAAAGCGCGUGUAGGCGGCCAGGUAGGUCCGCUGUGAAAACCCGAGGCUCAACCUCGGGACGUCGGCGGAAACCAUCUGGCUAGAGUCCGGAAGAGGAGAGUGGAAUUCCCGGUGUAGCGGUGAAAUGCGCAGAUAUCGGGAAGAACACCCGUGGCGAAGGCGGCUCUCUGGGGCGGUACUGACGCUGAGACGCGAAAGCGUGGGGAGCGAACAGG
RNAcentral lists this ribosomal RNA (253 nucleotides) under uncultured bacterium. RNAcentral describes it as "partial 16S ribosomal RNA". It matches the Rfam family "Bacterial small subunit ribosomal RNA", at positions 524 to 776 of the family's 1533-position model. The record is from RNAcentral.